RNAcentral lists this ribosomal RNA (253 nucleotides) under uncultured microorganism. RNAcentral's name for it is "partial 16S ribosomal RNA". It matches the Rfam family "Bacterial small subunit ribosomal RNA", at positions 524 to 776 of the family's 1533-position model. The record is from RNAcentral.
UACGUAGGGUGCGAGCGUUACUCGGAAUCACUGGGCGUAAAGGGCGCGUAGGCGGCCGGGCAAGUCUGGUGUGAAAGCCCGGGGCUCAACCCCGGAAGUGCAUUGGAAACUGCUCUGCUUGAGUACCGGAGAGGAAGGGGGAAUUCCCGGUGUAGCGGUGAAAUGCGUAGAUAUUGGAAGGAAUACCGGUGGCGAAGGCGGCCACCUGGUCAGAAACUGACGCUGAGGUACGAAAGCGUGGGGAGCAAACAGG